Molecule: unclassified non-coding RNA, 219 nt
Filed under: uncultured Actinomycetes bacterium
Lineage: Bacteria; Bacillati; Actinomycetota; Actinomycetes
Description: uncultured actinobacterium contains 16S-23S intergenic spacer region
Source: RNAcentral
UCCGGUUUGGCACCGGCAGUCUCCCUAGAGUUCCCGGCAUGACCCGCUGGCAACUAAGGAUAGGGGUUGCGCUCGUUGCGCCACUUAAGGCAACACCUCACGGCACGAGCUGACGACAGCCAUGCACCACCUGUGCAGGCUCCGUAGAGCACCCGCUUUCACGGGUUUCACCCUGCAUGUCAAGCCCAGGUAAGGUGGGGAUGACGUGUAACCGAAUCU